Long non-coding RNA from Canis lupus familiaris (dog), 4624 nucleotides. RefSeq lists it as uncharacterized. The transcript is spliced from 3 exons. The record is from RefSeq and is a predicted model, not a curated record. NCBI's taxonomy places the organism in Eukaryota, Metazoa, Chordata, Mammalia, Carnivora, Canidae.
UAUCCAAGGUCAACUGCAUUCCAGAAGUGCAUGAUUCUCCUCCUGAGCAUACAUAGCCUGACAAACAUAACUUAGUGCUACGGUCACAGUGCCUGUUAUUCACCUCACUUGUCUCAUCACAUAGGCAUUUUCUUACAUCAUCACAAGAAGGCAUCAAGAAAGCAAAUGGAAGCUUUGUAUUUUGGGCAUGGAAUCCACAACAUACAUGUUCAAGGCAAGAAUCAGGAAACAGAAGAUCCUAAGAAGCUCCCCUAUCUCUUGUGACACAGUCAAUAUAGAAUGCAGUGGAAGUUCUUGGUUCUUACAACUCCUGUGGACUGAGUCCUCAGAAGAGGAACUGGCACCUUAUGACAACAUCUAUGGUGAUAAGGAUAAUAAGAGAAGAAUUUGAAGAUAAAAAUCAAGAGUUUCAUUUCAAAUAGAUUUAACAUUGAAGUGUAUAUUACAAACCAAGUGAAGAUACAGCUCUGGACUUAAAUGGCAUGGCUUAGAGUUUUAUAGCAUAUAGAUAGAGGGUCAACAACCAUCCUGGUUUGCCCUGGACUGUCUCCAUUGUAAUGUUCAAAAUCUCAAGUCCUGGGAAUCCUUUUAGUGCUUGGCAGACUUGGGGCAGUGGUUCACCCUGUGUACAUGAUAUUUAUACUGUGGAAUUGGAUAAGAGCAACCAAGGAGAUCACACCCAAUGUUUGAAUCAGGCAUAUAUUAAGAGGGGAGAGAAUCUUAAAAGGUUAUAACCAGUGACGUAGAUAAGUGGAAGAUAGCAAAGUGUCAAAUAUCUGGUACUAAGGGAAGAGAGGAUGUCAAUGAAAGAAUGCUGGUGGAGGGUCAAUUAAGAAGAAGACAGAGUAGAAUAUUUGGCAAGAUGGUGGUCACAAGUGACCUUAACACGAAAAGACUUGAGAAUGAUGGGGGAAAACCUAUAGUGUAAGUUGAAGAAAGCAGAAGGGCAGAAAACAUGAUUAGCAGGUGCUAAAAGAAUGAUCCCUGCCACUCUGCGCCGAAGAAUAGACAAAUGGUUAGUGCUUAAAAGAGACUGGAGAGAGUAUAAAGGGUUGUUUAUGAUUCAGUGUUAGGAAGUGAAACUACUACAGGGGUGUAGGAGGUUUGGGAGCAUUGGAUAUCCAUAUGAAAAUUUUAGUAUAUAUUUUAAAGUUUUCUUCUUUCUAGUUGGUGAUCUUCUACAAUUAUACUCAGCUUCUCAGAAGCAGGCAUGAAACAUGUUUUAAAAUGGAUUCAACUAGUGUAUGCAUUUUUUCAGUGGAGGAUGCUAGAGAAAACAAAGAGAGGCAAGCAAUAAUUAAAAGGGGAUAAUUUCAGUUAGAAAACAUGGACUCUAGGCCAGGUGAAAGAGGGAACAGGACACAGAAAUAGAGAGUGAAAAGCAGAAUCAGUGUUUUAGAUGUUUUGCUGAAUUUGAAGGAUGUAGGCUGAAAGAACAGCAGGUGGCAACCAGAGAAAAGAGUGUUUGACUUUAAGAUCUCAUUUAUGAUGAGUUGCUGCUGGUGCAGUAUGGGCAUCACUGUUUGGGAAGGGGUGGAAGAGCAGGUGAUUAAAGAUUUAGAUUUAAUUAUAAAUCUGAAAUGCCCUCUUGCAGGGGAGGCCUAGAUUGCUUCGCUUUUUCUUUAAGGAGGUGUUGUUGCACUUAAACAUUCCAACCCUUAAAGCUCAAAUGGCACAAGCAAUUUUCACUUUUGAAAUUAAAUUUUUUAUACUGUAAGUGCAUGGCGAAAGGCUUAUGUAACAAUCUUGCAUUUUAAGACAAAUAUUCUUUUAUUUCUGUUAAACUGAAUAUACAAUUGUUCCCUAGGCUACCAACUUUUGCUUACAACUACAAUUCAAUUUCACAUUAACAAAAACACAGAUGGUGAAAAGACAACUUUGUGAAGAUCUAAUUACAAUAAUAAAUAAAAGAAUUUAUACAUGGAGGAGGGGAAGGAUCUGCAGGAAGGGAAAGGAUCUGCAGGAAGGGGAAGGAGGAGGGGAAGGAUCUGCAGGAAGAUGAAAUGGUUCGUCUACAUGAAUCCUGAAGUCACUGAGAAUGACGCAUGAAUAGGAAUGAAGAGAAAGAGAAUGAGCCCAAAGCAAAUUUGAAGGAGUGACUCAGUCAGUACAUGGGAAUAGAAGAGCGGGUGAUUUAGUCUGAUGGUGCAAGCUUCAAACAGGAGGGACGGAUUCACACCCAACUGCUUCCCAUCUGGUCCUAUGGUCUAUGGGGUAUGACAGAAAAAAAUCCUUUGCUUCAUACUGUUGCAAGGAAAAUGGUGUCCUCGGGACUUAAGAAGUCAAAGAUAAUAUUCAGAGAAGAGUUUGAAGUGAAAAGGGAAUCCCAGGAUGACAUACUGACUGCAUCAUCUGUAGGACCCAGUGCAAAAUGGAAAUGUAGGAAAUCAUGUCCAAAAAUCCGUUUGAACGUCAAGAUGGUGACAGAUGAACAUUACAUCAAAUGUGGGCCCUCAUAAAUGUGGGGUCCUGAAGGACUGAACAGGUCACAUGCCUGUGAAGCAGCUGCUACCUCUUUCGGGGUUUCAUGUGGCUAGGAAAAAAGAUUUGGAAAGGCGGGUAGCAUUUGGUCAGAUUAGGAGAUAUACUGUAUUUCUCUGUUUGGAAAUGCUAUGUGCAUAAAUGCUUAAACACUAUUAUCAUUUAAUCCUUCUAAUAGAUGAGGUAAGUACUAUUUCCUCAUUUUACAGAUAAGGAACAUGAAGCACUAGAAAUUUAAGUGAUUUGCCCAAGGUUGCCAAUAAGUGGUUGCUAGUAAGUGACAGCCGGUUCUAGAACUGUGUUCCUAACUAGCAGCCUCUGGAGCCUGUCAGCAGUCCGAGAAAUAAUAGAUGGUUUGGGAGACUCAGACUUUGGGUUGACCAAAGUGAACAGGAGUGCAAAAUGUGAUAGUAUUAGUCCUCAUUAAGUCCUUAGAGAAAGAGAAGAAUCAGCUGCAAAGUACAGUUUUUUGUUUCAUUUUUCUUUCAACUAUAUUGAGGUACAAAUGACAUGUAAAUUUCAAGAUAUUAGAGUAUACAUUGUGAUGGUUUGACAUACAUUGUGAAAGGUCCCCACCCCGCCCCCAUCUGUUUUGUUAACACAUCCAUCACUUCAUAUAUUUUUUUUUUUGUUUGGUUGUUUUCUGGUGAGAACAUUUAAGUUCUGCUCACUUAGCAAAAUUUCAUUUACAAUACAGUGUUAUUAGCUGUAAUCACCAUAUUUUACAUUUGAUCCUCAGACCUCAUGGGUCCAAAGAAAAUGAAAAUAGGUAUCAAAGAGGUCUCUGAAAAAAGAGAUAUGUUCUUUGCAUCAUUAUUUACAAUAGCCAAGAUAUGGAAAUAAGUGUCCAUCCAUCAACAGAUGAAGAUGUGAUAUAGAUGUUUUAAAUAGAUAUACAAUAGAAUAUUAUUCAGCUAUGGGGAAGAAGAAAAUCCUGCCAUUUGUGGCAACAUGAAUAGGCCUUGAAGCAUUAUGUGAAGAGAAAUAAUCCAUACAGAGAAAGAUAAAUACUGCUAGAUAUCACGUAUACAUGGAAUCUUAAAAGAAAAAAAAGUCAAAAUCAUAGAAACAAAAAGUAGAAAAAUGAUAUCCAAAGGCUGGAGGGUGGGGGAAAUAGGGAGAGAUUGGUAAGAGGGUAUAUAAAUUGUCAACUACAAGGUGAAUAAGAUCCAAGAAGCUAAUGUGAAACAUGGUGACUGUAACUAGUAACACUGCAAGAUAGUUUUUAAUACUUAACAUGUGAGUUAUUCACAGUUAUCUCUCAUGUUCUACUUUCUAAAGAAGAAAGAUACUUUCUUGGAAAUGCACAUUUCAAACAAAGUUUUAUAAGCAGAAAUAAUUUGAUUAAAUUAUUGCUAAAAGUUUGAGAAACAAAACUGGAUAAAUGAAACCAUUAUUGACAGAAGUGCCACAAAAGGAAAAAAAAAAGUCCUCCCAUGUGAAUGAAUUUUUAUACUUUGAAAAAAUAUUUAUAUCCCUUGGGAAAAGUUGUGAUCUAAUGUCUUAGCACUUUGAUUUGCUUUGGGUCUUUACUUAAGAACCCAAUAAUCCUACCCUGUACUACUUAGUUUGGAUGCAGAAUUAUUUUAUUUAUGACUAAAUCUUAGUUUAUUCUUUGUCUCCCGACUAUUUGACACUGCUAUGUGUGUGAGGGAUUGGGGGAAGAAAAGAUGCAAUUAAUUUCAGUCCAACUGAUUAUUUACCAAUGCUUUUUGAAAAAAAAGACACAGCUGGUUGCAUGAUUUAUUGGCUUAUGUAAUCUAUGUCCUUAUUGAAAUAUGAAUUGAUUAAUGUUCUCUGUCAAACUUUAUUUUUGUUUUAAUAGGCCAAUUAUAAAUACAAGUUUUGGUCAGUUUGGUAUAAUCCAAGGUAGAAAACAAAGAACAGCUAAGGAGUGGGCCUUCUAAUGUUUUUAGGGCAUUCCCUGAAGUCUACCACUUUUUUUUUCCAGCUCUGCAUUUGAGAUGAAUGGAUCUGUUUGCACAGUUGUAUAUGUGACACCCGGUAAUGGCACAGAUAGGUUAAAAAUGAAAGAAAUACACUCAGUCUCUUCCAUUUUCAACAUUAAUGAAACAGAGGGCAGCCCCAGUGGCUCAGCGGAUUAGCGCUGCCUUCAGCUCAGGGCACGAUCCUGGAGACCCAG